AAUUUUCUAAAAUCCGUAGACCUUUCGAGGUCACAAUUUAUAUUUUUGAAUAGAGCUCGAUCACACGAACGUGUAAGUGCAAAUCGUUCGUGAAAUAGAGUUAUAAUGAAAGAGUUAUUAACGUUUAAAUUUAGGGACAUGCUUGUAAUUUGGUUCUCAUUUAGAAGGGUAAGGAGAAGGGUAAGGAGAGAGAUGAACGGAGGAAAAGAAAAGAAAAUAAGGAAAGGGGAGAGGGCUCAGCGAAUGAGAGGAAGGGAGAAAGGAAAGGGAUCAAUGAGAAGAAAGAGUAAGCUGAGAAAUGAGAGGGGGGAGAAGCACCCAACAUGACCCCCCUUCCUUGUGACCCGAUAAACCGGCGGUGACCCGGUUUGAUUCUGACCAAUUUCCACCAUUUUUCAAUCAGAAUUCACCCAUCCACCACCUGUAACCUACUCCAUGACCCCUCAUUUUCCAUCACCCAAAUUCGAGGGCUUUGAGGUCCAAAAUUCGUGACGGAAGACGCUAGGUUCGCGGGAAGGCUCGACGGCGAUCUUGCCGUUCCGGCGAGUUGCACCACCCACCACCACCCUUAAUCAACUCCCCUUAGACCCAGGAACAAGACCUAACCAGUUGUAGGGACAUCGGAACACUGAGGAACUAUCUAGGGUUUCCAACGGGAUUGAGUGAAAUUGGGGCCUUUCCCUGCCAAAUUGGCCUUGGUCACAGGUAUGAAACUUGCUCCACUCAUUGAGAUCUACAUUUCUGUUAAAUUUGGUAAUUUUUGGAGUUAGUCUGAAAAUUGGGUUUCCGUUUGCCAGAAACCGCCACUUAUGGUGGUGCGUGGCUAGUGAGCCGACGAUGACUUUCUAAGUUCAAAUAGAUGUCCUGAUUUUGUAUUUGAUAUUCGUAUGACGUGGUUUGAUCGUUUGAACCUAAUUUUACUAUGAUGCAUUACUUGCUCAAAACAUGAAUCAACGAUCCGACCAUUGGAUCGUCACCAAACUUUAAUACGUUAUAAUACGUAAUAUUUGAGGAUGUUAGGAAAUGACAGAUCUUCCCAAAUUGGAUUUCUAAGUUAGUUAAAAAAAAUUGUUAACCGCUACCUAAUUCUUGCAAUUGGCGGAUAUCCGACCGUCGAAUCAUGAUGAGAAUUUAGUAUGUCGUUCUAUGAGCAUAUGAAGACCUUAGGAAGUUACGGAUUUGAAAUUCGAUGUUUAGAUCUUCCAGAUCACAUUACAUAAGGUUGUGGACCCUACUGUUGACCGAGAGUUGACUUUGCCUCUCAUACAGAUAGUUAGGGGCAAUUGUGGGACCAUGAUUUUUCAGGGCUGGAGUAAGGCUAAUCUGAAUACUGUCACCUCUGAAGUCCGGUCAUGGACUUUAUCAGAUGGAGCAUGGUGCCACCAUUACUCUACUCCGGGGUAAUAAGCCCAAUCUUAGUGACCUAGCUGGAUGGCCGUGCUUAUUUCAUAAGACAUGCGAAUUGAUCUGGAUAUGGACACAAUCAGGUCCUAUAAGUCUUGGAGUCUCUACAAUCUAAGGAUUGGCGUGCGUCACAAAUAAUUACACUCCUAAGAGGACGCAAUAUCUACUUACUAGAUAUCCUCUAGGAUUCUCCCGGUUUAGAACAAAGAUUCUAUCCUGAAAAUGUCUCUCUCCCCAUGGUAUAAAUACACCCUCUAAAGUUUCAUUUAUGAUAACGCAAUCUAUACACUUAAACUCUUCUACCCACUGCUUGAGUCUAAAUCAUUCACUAACUUAACCGUCGAAGGCCUCACCCCCGGUCUAAGGUUUGAUUACGGUUGUUUUACUGUUUUGCAAGUUUCUAAGGUUACUCGGAUUUGUGCUCAACCAGCACUCACGGAGGUGUGCAGAUUUGGUUCCAACACACCUCAUUACUAUUGUUGAGAAUGAAUAUUACAUUGAUGAAAGGAUGACCUUGCAUAUGCUUUUUAAGUAGUUGGGCUACUCCCCAUAUUGCCAAUUAGUUUUAUAUAUGGUGAAACCUCAACUUCUUCAUGCUAUUAAAGCAAGUUGUCCUAUGUGUGAAACCCAAUAAUCUCACUUGUUCCACGUCACCCAAGUUGUGUUGUACACGUGUUAGGCUUGAAAAUUUGUCACAAAUAAGGGGCGUGUUGAAAAUGAAUCCCAAAUUGAUAAGAUGACGGAACUUGCAUGUGCUUAUAAUGAGUUGGGCUACUCCUCAUAUUACCAAGGAUUUCAAUUGCACGGUUUAAAUGAACAGUGUUUUUGGGUGGAUUUCAACUUAUUUACAAAUCUGCCACAGGCGCUAAUCUUGAUGCACACGUGUUGAUAAUUGUGGGAAGGAAAGAAGGAUGGUAAGCCGGCCUUUUCCAUAUCCUUCUCAAACCCUCUUUUGCCUCCUCCAUUUCGCAGACCCCGCGAGAACGACGCAGACGGUCUCGCCUCCGUCCUAUCCCUCCUCUCGCCGCCGUCUCCCUUCUCUCGCCUCCGUCGUCUUACUCCUCCUUUCUCACCGUCGCCUCCGUCCUAUCCCUCCUCUCGCCGCCGUCUCCCUUCUCUCGCCUCCGUCGUCUUACUCCUCCUUUCUCUGUCUAUGGAAUCGAUCGAUCUAUUCGAAGAGGAUCGACAUUUCUGAAAUGGUGUUUAGAUAGGUAGGGGUUGUGCGUGGUGCGGUCAUGCUGAUGAUCGUGGAAGCCAUCGAUUCUUCUUCUACGACAUAGCAUCGACUCUGCUUCCAUCUCCAUUUUCUCUCCUCGCCUUCACUCUCAGAAAUCACCAACCACAGCACUGUGUUGCUCAAAAACCACCAAGCCGUUAGAAAUCUCUUCGAUUCUCUCCCAGAAACUACGAAGCACAACGACCUCUUGCUGAAAAACCGUGAAUUUGGUCCCAAUUCAAAGGAAAUUUUAAGCCCAGAAAAGCCUUGGUUUCCUGGUGAGUUCUCCGGUCGAUUUGGGUUUAUUUUGGGGGUUUACACUAGAAUUGAGGAAGCACAUAUGAACGCAAAGCUAGAGUGUCUGCAGUUUAGGUCCCCCCCGCGGCGGCCCUCAUUUUAGAGGGAGUACUGAUGUACUGAUUUUCUGGGAUUUUUUUUGUCCUUGCAGGAUUUUUGGUCUUUGAAGUGGGUUUCCACCCCACAUUUCACAAGUUCAAAUUCCAGAGAAGUCGGUUCUGCAGAUUGCGUCUGCAAUUAGAUCAGAGAUCAACCGCUCUUUUGUUAUCCUGAGGAAGAUUGCUUUUGGGAAUGAUCUGAAGCAGUUCCUCUCUGUAUGUUUACUCUGUGGAUAUGAGAAACAAAGAGGAUGACACUUAUAACUGCCCCUCCCCAUCCGCCGUCUUCAAAUUUGGAUCACACUUAGAUAUGGUGUUGUGAUGUUUUGAAUGAAGGGUGAUGAAAGGUGGUUGACACACUUCCUCCUUCCUUAGAGCAAGUGGAGAUGAUGGUUUGUAUAAAAAGAAAAACUUGCUAGUUGGCUUCAUUUCCUUCCAGUAACUCUCUAAAUAGGUCCAGGAACUCACUAAUUAGGUAGUCAAGAAGAAUUCAGUGUUGCCGUCAUUUUUUGCCUGCUGUUUCCUCUCUUACUGGAUGCACUCUCAUCGCUUCUCUCGCUUACCACUUUUCUCUCACUCACCGCUUCAUCUCUUCUGUUGCUUACAAGGUGAAUGGAGAGAUUUACAACCAUGAAGAGCUGAGGAGCCGUUUGCCAAAUCAGAUUUAUAAGGUCUGAUCAAUUAUAAAUGAAAUGAACUUUCAUUCCGAAUGGCCUUCUUUAUUGUUUUUCUUAACGGGCUAGCUGAACAUGAGGUGGAUGCUGACUUUAUCAAAUAUGAGAAUGUUUUAGGAUUUUAUUCUUAUUUUUUGCCUGUUUGAUUACUUUGCUUUUCGUAAUCUGUUUUGUUUAUCGUCAAUUGGAUGAGACAACAUAUUUUUGUAACCAGUUUGUACUUUUACCAUCUCGGUUUUGAUGGAAUUGGUGCUUUCAGUAAUGGGUUCUGAGGGACUUGGAGUUUUUGAGUAA
Long non-coding RNA from Pyrus x bretschneideri (Chinese white pear), 3983 nucleotides. RefSeq lists it as uncharacterized. The transcript has 8 exons. NCBI's taxonomy places the organism in Eukaryota, Viridiplantae, Streptophyta, Magnoliopsida, Rosales, Rosaceae. The record is from RefSeq and is a predicted model, not a curated record.